AGUAAAAGUCGUAACAAGGUUUCCGUAGGUGAACUUGCGGAAGGAUCAUUAUCGAGUUUUGAAAUGGGUUGUAGCUGGCCUUCCGAGGCAUGUGCACGCCCUGCUCAUCCACUCUACACCUGUGCACUUACUGUAAGUCUUUCGAGUUUGAAGGGAGGUGUCUCGCGACGCCUUCGGAUUUCUCGAGGGGCUUACGUCUACUACAAACUAUUAAAAAGUAUUAGAAUGUCUAUUGCUAUAAACGCAUCUAUAUACAACUUUCAGCAACGGAUCUCUUGGCUCUCGCAUCGAUGAAGAACGCAGCGAAAUGCGAUAAGUAAUGUGAAUUGCAGAAUUCAGUGAAUCAUCGAAUCUUUGAACGCACCUUGCGCUCCUUGGUAUUCCGAGGAGCAUGCCUGUUUGAGUGUCAUGAAAUUCUCAACCUACAAACCUUUGCGGGUUCUGUACGUGUUGGAUAUGGAGGAUUAUUGUCGGCGCGAGUCGGCUCCUCUUAAAUGCAUUAGCUUGAUUUCUUGCGGAUCGGCUCUCAGUGUGAUAAUUGUCUACGCUGCGACCGUGAAGUGCUAUGGCGAGCUUCCAAUCGUCUCUAACGGGACAUUGACUUUGACAUCUGACCUCAAAUCAGGUAGGACUACCCGCUGAACUUAAGCAUAUCAAUAAGCGGAGGA
RNAcentral lists this ribosomal RNA (668 nucleotides) under uncultured fungus. RNAcentral's name for it is "eukaryotic LSU rRNA". The stretch from base 256 to 409 matches the Rfam family "5.8S ribosomal RNA". Lineage: Eukaryota; Fungi. The record is from RNAcentral.